Molecule: non-coding RNA, 108 nt
Organism: Crenarchaeota archaeon 13_1_20CM_2_51_8
Lineage: Archaea; Thermoproteati; Thermoproteota
Source: Rfam
GCCGGGAUCGCCUAGCCAGGUAUGGCGUCGGAUUGCUAAACCUGUUUGCGCGGGUGCGGAUAUCCGAUGGGCCUUAGGCCCUCGUGGGUUCAAAUCCCACUCCCGGCG